AGAACUAACUCUGGGCAGCAUGGCGUCUUUCCGGCUUCUCCAAACCCUUGCGAAAAACUUUAUUGGCAAAGCUAUCAGAGAACGGACAGUGUACCCACUGAGGCGGCCAAAGCUUAACUGGAUCAGGGCAGGAUGACAUGACCUUGUGGUAGAUCCCAGAACUGAGGCCCCAGGAUGACAGAACAGGAGACCCUGGUCCUGCUGGAAGUGAAGAGAGCCCCCUGAGUCAGAACCACUUACCAAGCUAGAGGAGCUGCCCGAAGAUGAUGCCAACCUGCUGCCUGAGAAAGCGGCCCGUGCCUUCGUGCCUAUUGACCUACAGUGCAUUGAGCGGCAGCCCCAAGAAGACCUUAUCGUGCGCUGUGAGGCAGGCGAGGGCGAGUGCCGAACCUUCAUGCCCCCCCGGGUCACCCACCCCGACCCCACUGAGCGCAAGUGGGCUGAGGCAGUGGUGAGGCCGCCUGGCUGUUCCUGUGGGGGCUGCGGGAGCUGUGGAGACCGUGAGUGGCUAAGGGCUGUGGCCUCUGUGGGAGCUGCACUCAUCCUCUUCCCUUGCCUACUAUAUGGGGCAUAUGCCUUCCUGCCGUUUGAUGUCCCACGGCUGCCCACCAUGAGUUCCCGCCUGAUCUACACACUGCGCUGCGGGGUCUUUGCCACCUUCCCCAUUGUGCUGGGGAUCCUGGUGUACGGGCUGAGCCUGUUAUGCUUUUCUGCCCUUCGGCCCUUUGGGGAGCCACGGCGGGAGGUGGAGAUCCACCGGCGAUAUGUGGCCCAGUCGGUCCAGCUCUUUAUCCUCUACUUCUUCAACCUGGCCGUGCUUUCCACUUACCUGCCCCAGGAUACCCUCAAACUGCUCCCCCUGCUCACUGGUCUCUUUGCCGUCUCCCGGCUGAUCUACUGGCUGACCUUCGCCGUGGGCCGCUCCUUCCGAGGCUUCGGCUACGGCCUGACGUUUCUGCCGCUGCUGUCGAUGCUGCUGUGGAACCUCUACUACAUGUUCGUGGUGGAGCCGGAGCGCAUGCUCACUGCCACCGAGAGCCGCCUGGACUACCCGGACCACGCCCGCUCGGCCUCUGACUACAGGCCCCGCCCCUGGGGCUGAGCCGCUCCGCUCUCGCCCUCGGAGUAGCGGGUAGCGGCGUGGGUCAGACACAUCUUUGAACCUUGUGGCCAGGCCUGGACUUCGCCCCCAGGCCUAGGACCGCGGUGGGUGGAACCCUGCUACUGCCCCAACAGGGACUCCAAUCAGUCAGAGUUCUCCCCUUGCCGGAGCUGCCCUUCACCUUUGGGGCCCCAGACAGUCAUAAGGGAUGGACUUAGUUUUCUUGCAGGGAAAAAGGUGGACAGCCGUGUUUCUUAAGGAUGCUGAGGGCAUGGGGCCAGGACCAGGGGAGAGACACAGCUCCUUCCUGAGCAGCCUCCCACCACUGCCACAAGGCUCCCUAAUGCUGGACUCUGCUCCACUCCCUGGCUUCCCGUGAGGCAGGAGGCAGAGCCACAGCCAAGGCCCUGACCACUUCUGUGCCAGUUGUCUAAGCAGAGCGCCUCAGGGACGCUGGAAAUGCCUUAAGGAUAGAGGUCGGGCAUCACAUCAAAUGGGACUGUGGUGUUUGGUGAAAACCUUCCUGGGGAUCUGGAUUCAGGACCCUCCAUGACUGGGCUAUUUACUAUUUACAGCUGGCCAGUCCAGAGCUGCUGCUCUUUUACCUAUUUAGGCCCCUGUAACUUCCCACCUUUAAACUGCACAGAAGCCAUGCCUCUCCCACGGGAAGAGGGGAGCAGACAGGGAAAUCUGCCUCCCAAGAGGGAUGUGUGUGUGUUUGUGCCCACACAUGGUGGCUGGGGAGUGCCUGGAUGGUGCGGUGGUUGAUGUUAACCUAGUGUGAGUGUAUGUGUGUAACAAUAAAUUACUACCAGUC
Molecule: small RNA, 1919 nt
Filed under: Pongo abelii (Sumatran orangutan)
Lineage: Eukaryota; Metazoa; Chordata; Mammalia; Primates; Hominidae
Description: processed transcript
Source: RNAcentral